This 484-nucleotide ribosomal RNA is filed under the name uncultured bacterium. RNAcentral's name for it is "partial 16S ribosomal RNA". It matches the Rfam family "Bacterial small subunit ribosomal RNA", at positions 30 to 507 of the family's 1533-position model. The record is from RNAcentral.
AUUGAACGCUGGCGGCAGGCCUAACACAUGCAAGUCGAGCGGAUGAAGGGAGCUUGCUCCUGGAUUCAGCGGCGGACGGGUGAGUAAUGCCUAGGAAUCUGCCUGGUAGUGGGGGAUAACGUCCGGAAACGGGCGCUAAUACCGCAUACGUCCUGAGGGAGAAAGUGGGGGAUCUUCGGACCUCACGCUAUCAGAUGAGCCUAGGUCGGAUUAGCUAGUUGGUGGGGUAAAGGCCUACCAAGGCGACGAUCCGUAACUGGUCUGAGAGGAUGAUCAGUCACACUGGAACAGAGACACGGUCCAGACUCCUACGGGAGGCCGCAGUGGGGAAUAUUGGACAAUGGGCGAAAGCCUGAUACAGCCAUGCCGCGUGUGUGAAGAAGGUCUUCGGAUUGUAAAGCACUUUAAGUUGGGAGGAAGGGCAGUAAGUUAAUACCUUGCUGUUUUGACGUUACCAACAGAAUAAGCACCGGCUAACUUCGUG